Rhincodon typus (whale shark) is the source of this 6670-nucleotide long non-coding RNA. RefSeq lists it as uncharacterized. The record is from RefSeq and is a predicted model, not a curated record. The transcript is spliced from 2 exons. NCBI's taxonomy places the organism in Eukaryota, Metazoa, Chordata, Chondrichthyes, Orectolobiformes, Rhincodontidae.
AGUUAGAAUUUAAGAACAAAAUAUUUUAUAAUGCAUAGGAAAGUGUAAUAUAAAGCUCCCUUAUCUAAAAAAGAAGGCUGUUUGAUAUAAUCUGUCAGUCUUUUGGAUAUAUGACCUACAUAUGUGGUAUUAAUCAUCGUUAAAGGGUUUUUUUGUCCAUGGUAAAACCUCUAACAAUCAUUUCUAAUCAAUCAGCUGUCUCCAUGCUGUAUACAUGUUGGUUUUCCCCUUGAAUUGGAAUUCUUGCAAAGUAUCCUGAUGAAUGCAAGACAAAAAGCUUCAGCAAAAUGUGUCAUUUUUCAGUGAUUCUCAAGUUGUGGACUACCCAACAACUAUGAAUGACCAGAAAACUAGAAGCUUCCUUUCUUGAACUGUAUUUUGCUUUUUCUCCAGGUAAUAGAUGGAACAGAAUGUCAGCCAUAUAGCAAUUCAGUAUGUGUGCGGGGACGCUGUGUCAGGACUGGCUGUGAUGGUAUAAUUGGUUCCAAGCUGCAGUAUGACAAGUGUGGAGUCUGUGGUGGAGAUAGUUCCACCUGUGUGAAAAUAUCGCGAAGUUUUACCAAGAGAAGUGUGGGUUACAGAGAGGUAACAAGAAUCCCCGCAGGAGCAACACACAUCAAAGUGCGGCAGUACAAGCCAAAGGGUCAGCAGCGGUUCACUGCCUAUUUAGCCGUUAAAAGGAAGAAUGGGGAUUACCUCUUCAAUGGCAAGUACAUGAUCUCAACUUCAGAAACAAUCAUUGACCUAAAUGGCACAGUGCUCAACUACAGUGGGUGGAGCCAGAAGGAUGAUCAAAUGCAUUCAAUGGGUUAUGGCCCUUUAAAGGAGCCACUGAUAAUUCAGAUCCUUGCCACCGAUCCUGGGAAACCACUUGACGUGCGCUACAGCUAUUUUAUUCCUAGGAAACAAUUGCCUUCAGCCAAUGAAAAUGCCAUCAAGACUCUGGCUGCACAAUCCAACCUUCUCAAGUGGGUAACAGGACCCUGGUUGUCAUGUUCCAGAACCUGUGAUACAGGCUGGCAGACCAGAACUGUUCAGUGCAAAAACGGAUAUGGGAAACUGACGAAGGGGUGCCACCUGUCCCAAAGACCCUCAGCGUUUAAACAAUGUUUUCUAAGAAAAUGUUAAUGCACUAUUGUUCAGUAAGAUUUUUUUUAUUAUGUCAUUCUGUUUGGUGUUGUCUUAAUCUAAAAUGAAAACAUACUUGGAGAAAAGGAGGGAGAUGACUGCUAGCAUGACUUGGCAUAAAGCAGACAACAAUGUCAGGUUGAGAACAACCAAAGUGAGUAAGUGCACAUUGGUACUGCACCACAAUGGGAGACCUUCAGAUGCAUUGCCCCAAACUAGUGAGAAUGGGAAAGUAGAAGAUGACACCAACCGGGAUGAUGCCUACCUCAGAUGCAUCCCUCACCUGUAUGGAAAUGAGAUCUAUGGAGCCACCCUUUCCAGAAAUACAAGCUGGUGCAUUGAUUGUACAAAUCGUUCUGACCCUCCCAAGGAAUCUGAUGUCUGAUGGUCCAGCACAAACCUGCCUUGUGUUUCAGGAUUUGUCUUGCUCUGCUUGCUUCUGACUGUUUAGUUGGACUGAUUCCAAGGUGUUCAAUUGUGAUAGUGCACAGAGCAGAGCAUUCUCACUCAUUCAUUCACGCCUGUGCACAUGAUGGUAAAGGAAGCCAGCUGGCUGGUGAAAGAGUUUCAUGUAUUCAAGAAUAGAAUGAAGAACAAUUAUGCUGAUGAGCAUGCAGCAUUGUGUGGAGCCUGGGAGGAACUUGUGCCACCAUGAUUGCAUUGUCUUGUUAAAGUGUUUAAUGAUAUUAUCUCUCUGCAAUGAUUAAAUGGCAGAGCAGAUUUGGGCCGAAUGGUCUAGUUUCUGCUCCUAUGUCUUAUGGUCCAAUACCUAAAGGAGAUGGUUAACAGUCCUAGUGGACUCUUGUAACAAAUCCUUGAAUGAAAUAUGAUACAAUUCCGCACAGUAAUAACAAAUCUGAUGCAACACAAGAACAAAGAGUAAAAUAGCAGUGCUGUUUGGAAAUGUAUGCACAAGGGGAAGCUGGUAAAAUAAUUCCAUACAACUCUAUACCCCUGAUAGAUUCAGGGCCAGACUGCCUCAUUCUAAUGCCCACCAGAACUCCCAAGAAAAGUUUCUAGCCUGGGACCUUUCACUAAAAUUUAAAUAUGUAACACAGAAAUAUGGAUUUUGUGAAACAUCCAAAUUAAUAUCAAGUUACAACUUUCACUUGAUUGAAUAUCUGAUCAAAAGUUAAAUCAUACGCCCUGACCCUAGUUAUAUUCCUUGUCUUUUGGAUUAAUAUUGCAAUAAGGCAAAUGGAACCACAGAGGAAAGAACAAGUUUGUGUUUUUUUGUCUGAAAGAGAAGUGGUUUGCUUCGUGCACAUACUUUCACAGUACUGUAUUCAAGAUAUGACAUAACCCGGCAGGAACAAGACUUUAAUCAUUAAUGUGGUGUUUCAACUGAUACAGUUUAAGGUUGCCACUUGGGAAUUAGGGGAAAAGAAAGGGAAUGGGCUCAGAGCCCGAGUUCUGAUAUUUGCUUUGCUCAAAAUGUAAGUUCAUCAGUUACCUUGAAAUCAGCGCUAACUAAAUGUGCUGUAGCACAGGAGGCAGCUAUUAAGGGGGAUUUAAAAAAUGUACAGACUUCCUACCGCCAUCCCAAAAAAAAUGUAUGCUCCAAGGCUGGAAAAGUGACAGUCUGAAUCCAAAGGGAAAAAUAUCCGAAUGAAUCUGUGGUUUGCAUCUCUGGACUUGCUGAAGGUUAGCUUCAGAGGUCAGUAGGUCAUUCAGACGAUGGGUUUACUGGCUGCUCCUCUGGUCAAUUCUGUGAUUUUAGAAAAGGACAACUGGUGUUUUGCUUUAAACUGAGUUGAACCUUAUUCAUGAUCCACACACUCACAACUUAACCGCCUACAAUUUCCAUGCCAGCAAACCAGUGCUAGGAUCUACCUAAUCAGAAAUUAUUUGCAGGCAGGAGAAUGUGCAAUUUUAUAAAUAGAGUGUUAAUUUCCGAGUUUCAGUCCCCAAUCUCAAGUGAAGCUCAGUUAUCAGGCCUAUUCUAAAUGGGUCAAAUCUCGCUGUCACCCUCCCCAAUGACUGUAUUGAUAUCCAUUCUCAGGAUGGGCUCAUUGCUGCCAAAGCCACAUUUUAAGCUAUCCCUAUUUGCCAUAAGAGAAUGGUGGUGCUGGCAGGUCUCCUAUUGUUUCCUUCAGCAGAGAAGUGUGCUAUGUCACUCAAGAGUCAACCAAUUUAGUGUGAAGUUGGAGUCAUAACAGGCUAGCUUGGGUAAUUAGAGAUAGCUUCCUUCUCUGAAGUAUGUUAUUGAUUUAAUACAUUUGUCAGAUCGUCUAGCACCUUCAUUGUCAUGUGUGCCUACCCCAACUUUACAUUUUUCCAUCUCUUAUCAACUGAAUUCAAAUUGGCAGACUAUCAAGGGGAAAUUUUGAUCUCAUUAUUUGUUUUAUUAUUCCAGAAGUCUGUCAUUAAUAACCCACUAACAUAACCACUCCACUAAAUGCACAAAGUAGUACUGAACAAUACAAGCUGAAAAGUGUCAGCUUUAAUCUUUAAUUACGCGUAAACAGUUGAUCUCAGAUCUCAGAACAGUCAUGGAUCAGAAAGGAUCAUUCAGUCCAUUGGAGAUCAUCUCUCCUUGGGCACUCACCCUCCCAAGGCUACCAUGUAACUGCAUUUUGAACUCUACUAAUAUAUUCAUCUUCCUAGCAAGUUUUUCCAAUCAUGUAUAAACCUGUAUGUAAGGAAUUUCCUCCUUAGUUCAGUGAAAAUAUGAGUACAGGUCUCAAUUUGCCCAGGCAAAGGAGAGAAAGUGUUGGCAUUUAGAAUCAGAAUGAACCUAAUUGAGUAAAUGGCCUCAAUAGAUGGCACACUCAAAAAUAAUUUAUCAGGGCAGGUUGGAAUGAGUCAGUCACCCCUCCCUGUCCUUCCUGUCUUCCGUAGUACAAUGGCCUUACACACUUCUAGUAUCACUAGUUGAUUUUUGUGUGUGCCAUUGCUGCAAAUUAUUACUUGGUUUAUGUUACACUUUUGUCUGGUACAGCAGAAGGGAAACCAACACCUUCGACCACUGUUGAUGGCAGUUUUCUGUGGAUUAGUCUCCAAUUUCAAACAAUGCUUCCGAAAACCAUGAGGCACUAAGUGCCUUUUCAUAAGACCCUGCCUAAAUGGAUUGAAUUGUUAACCAAUUUAUUUUCCAUGGAAACAGAAUUCAAACAUAACCUAAUCAGAAGGUUCAUUGGUAGUUAUGGUAUGACAUAAAACAUCAGUGUAUGUUGCUCAGGUGUUGAGGCCUAUCUCUGCUCUCAAAGGGAUCCUGACAGUAUGUGAAAUAGAGCAAAGUAUUCCUAAAUGUCUCUAUACAGAGAUGUGUUAACCAAAAUACCACCUCUUCCUUUACUCGCUGUUUAUACAAAGUUCAUAACUUUUAGAAUCUAAACUUUUUUAGUAAUGACAGAUUCAAUUUUGAAUUGGAAGUCUCCCACAGUACAGCUAAAUUAAAAAAAGAUUGCCCCCAAUCUGAACAGUAGUUACCUGGUCUCACUUAGGAAUCCUGGAAGAGAAAUUGGCUCAGCUUUCCCAGGAUAAAGUCUGGAAAUUCAACCAGAGCUCUAAUGCUUUGUUAAUAGCAUUUGUAUUGUCAGUGCUCAGAUUCAUAUAUAAUGAAUAGUCACUGAUUUAAAAUUUCGUUUAGAGGUGGUCUCAGUCAACAGGAACAUCUUUCAAGACAGCAACCAGUUCGAAAUUUUGGGUGACAUUAGAAGGACACAAAAUCAUUGACAGUAAAAACAAGAAAAUUUUGGAAAAAACCUACCUUGUCUGGCAACAUCUGUGAAGAGAGAAAUGAAUUAACAUUUUGAGUCUCAUACUGACUCUUCAGAACUGGACAGAGUUGGAAAAUUGUUGUUAAUAGAAUUGUUGCAUGCUGUAGACAGAGGAGGGGGUGGAGGACCAAGUUAAACAGAUCGUGAAAGUACUCAGGGCCAAAGACAAGGAAGUUGCUAAUAGCAGUGAUGGAAAGAUAAAGAUGUAAAAAGGGUUUAAUGAAGGUAUGAAAAGAGAAAAAUGGGUCCUCCCUGUCGACAGCCUGUCUAGCUGUUAAUCACCCUGUGGAUCCUUCCAUUACUUCACACUAUUCUCAAUGGGAAGAGUUUGAGGAUACAAUAACAACAACAUCCAGAAGGUGUCUAUUGCUUUCAAGGAAGAGAAGAAGGGAAGGGGAAAAGCUGAAAAGGACAGGAAAACAAAUCAGCUAUUUAGAAUUUGACAUUUUUAAUGUUAUUUGAUUGCCAAUAGGUCAGGUAUACAUUUGAUUCUUUAGCUUAUUGUUACACAAAAGUCAAAAUUAUUUAUCGUUUAACAUUUAAACAUUCAUUUUCCUGUGGAAACUGUCUAGUGACACAUUUGGCACAUGUUAUAAUAGGGCAGCUCUAAUCCCAGCAAAGACCAUAUGAUCCCAAGUAGGACAAAAAACUCCUUCUAUUCUCAGGGGACAGUAUAAACUGCCAAUUCCAAACCCAGUAUGUUGGCCCAGAUAUGAGGAAUAAGGUGAGAUGAUGGAAAAAGGGGAAGAGUGCUAUUGGUCUCCCUUUCGAUCCUAAAUUCACUCCUGGAGUGACUUGAGCCACACGAGAACAAAGGGAUCCUUCUUGCCCACUGCAUGGUCCUAGGAGAAGCCAUAGAGUGGGUUGGGCUUGUCCAUUCAUUAAAUAAAAUGGUAUUAUUCUGAAUUCUACCAUGUGUACCACCCUUAUUCAUUUACUCAGCUGGGCCAAUGGAAUCAAAAUGACCAGAAACCCAUUCUGCAUCUUCAGUUCUAUCAUUCCCUAUUGAACUGGGGAAUCGAGGAGAUAAUCCUUUUCUACUAUGUAUAGAUUUUAAUUGGGUCUCCAUUAUGAGGGAGAAAACAUUCCAAUGUAAAUUUAAAUUGUGAAAAUGUUUAAGGCACAGCACUGAAAUAAUUUAUUUGUGUUAGUACAACUGGUGUGAAUUUGAUGUAACAGUUUUAUUUAUUGUUAUUUAAUAUGGAGAACACCCAUCAUGCAAUUUUUUUUGAAAAAAGAAUUGCUACUGUGUUCUAUUAUACAACUGUUUAAUUUAUGCUUCACUCCUAAGGUGAAAGUUCACUAUAUUUUUUAAAUAUGUAUGUUUACGUAAUGUAUAGCACUGGUUGCUUUGUGUACUGUUGCAUUGUGCUCUUUCCUUGUGUAAUUAUUCAGAUGUUUGCAUUCCUCAUGAGGGAAGUUGCGCUUGUCUUUUUUAAGAAAAAUUAUUAAUUGACUGAGUCAACAUGUCAAAAGCAUUUUAGUACUUGUUUUAAAAGACGUAGCAGUUGUGUACUGCAUAUUAAUCAUGUCUCGAACAAAAAUGCAAACAUUUGCGGGAUUACAGGGACAGGACAGGGGACUGGGACUAGCUGAUUUACUCUCACAGAGUGCUGACACAGAUCCAACAGGCUUCCUUCUGUGAUGUAACCAGUCUGUAAUUCUAAGAAGUACUUUUAUCAAUUAUUUUAAGCACAUCAGUAAUAUUCUGUAACAUACUGUAACAAUAAUCAUGUUGUCUGUAUAACUAAUGCUAAAAUUCACUUUUGUAAUGUGUGUAAAUUAUAUAUUCAAAAUGCAAUACCACAGUCCAUAAUUAA